AGAAGAAAAUGUAGCCAAGAACAACUUGCCGGAGAUCAUAAUAAUGGUUAUACAAAAAUAUGUAUGAGCGCAGUUAUGCGAACACACCGGCAAGUCAUCCUUGGCUGCAUUCAAAUCUCC
Molecule: non-coding RNA, 120 nt
Organism: Morus notabilis
Lineage: Eukaryota; Viridiplantae; Streptophyta; Magnoliopsida; Rosales; Moraceae
Source: Rfam